This 476-nucleotide ribosomal RNA is filed under the name Fusarium solani. RNAcentral describes it as "eukaryotic LSU rRNA". It matches the Rfam family "Eukaryotic large subunit ribosomal RNA", at positions 72 to 559 of the family's 3401-position model. The record is from RNAcentral. Lineage: Eukaryota; Fungi; Ascomycota; Sordariomycetes; Hypocreales; Nectriaceae.
GGAUUGCCCCAGUAACGGCGAGUGAAGCGGCAACAGCUCAAAUUUGAAAUCUGGCUCUCGGGCCCGAGUUGUAAUUUGUAGAGGAUGCUUUUGGUGAGGUGCCUUCCGAGUUCCCUGGAACGGGACGCCAUAGAGGGUGAGAGCCCCGUCUGGUUGGACGCCGAACCUCUGUAAAGCUCCUUCGACGAGUCGAGUAGUUUGGGAAUGCUGCUCUAAAUGGGAGGUAUAUGUCUUCUAAAGCUAAAUACCGGCCAGAGACCGAUAGCGCACAAGUAGAGUGAUCGAAAGAUGAAAAGAACUUUGAAAAGAGAGUUAAACAGUACGUGAAAUUGUUGAAAGGGAAGCGCUUGUGACCAGACUUGGGCUUGGUUGAUCAUCCGGGGUUCUCCCCGGUGCACUCUUCCGGCCCAGGCCAGCAUCAGUUCGCCCUGGGGGACAAAGGCAUCGGGAACGUGGCUCUCUCCGGGGAGUGUUAU